UACGGAGGGUGCGAGCGUUAUUCGGAAUUACUGGGCGUAAAGGGCGUGUAGGCGGCUUUGUAAGUCAGAUGUGAAAGCCCACGGCUUAACCGUGGAACUGCAUUUGAAACUGCUUGGCUAGAGUACGGGAGGGGGUGGCGGAAUUCCCGGUGUAGGAGUGAAAUCCGUAGAUAUCGGGAGGAACACCGGCGGCGAAGGCGGCCACCUGGACCGUAACUGACGCUGAGACGCGAAAGCGUGGGGAGCAAACAGGAUUAGAUACCCCCGUAGUCC
RNAcentral lists this ribosomal RNA (273 nucleotides) under uncultured bacterium. Its description in RNAcentral is "partial 16S ribosomal RNA". It matches the Rfam family "Bacterial small subunit ribosomal RNA", at positions 524 to 796 of the family's 1533-position model. The record is from RNAcentral.